UGACCAGCAACUCCUAUCUCUACCUCCUCGUGGUACUGGACGGGUUACGAGUAGCCUUAGAGAUGAUCAGGUGAUCAACCCCGGUGGGAACUUUGAUCGUAUGCUGACAGGGACGG
This 116-nucleotide ribozyme is filed under the name Aedes aegypti (yellow fever mosquito). RNAcentral's name for it is "drz-agam-1 ribozyme". It matches the Rfam family "drz-agam-1 ribozyme". The record is from Rfam by way of RNAcentral. Lineage: Eukaryota; Metazoa; Arthropoda; Insecta; Diptera; Culicidae.